This 372-nucleotide ribosomal RNA is filed under the name uncultured bacterium. Its description in RNAcentral is "bacterial SSU rRNA". It matches the Rfam family "Bacterial small subunit ribosomal RNA", at positions 29 to 404 of the family's 1533-position model. The record is from RNAcentral.
AUUGAACGCUGGCGGCAUGCCUUACACAUGCAAGUCGAACGGCAGCACGGGGGCAACCCUGUGGCGAGUGGCGAACGGGUGAGUAAUACAUCGGAACGUGCCCAGUAGUGGGGAUAGCUCGGCGAAAGCCGGAUUAAUACCGCAUACGACCUACGGGUGGAAAGCGGGGGAUCGCAAGACCUCGCGCUAUUGGAGCGGCCGAUGUCAGAUUAGGUUGUUGGUGGGGAAAGGCCUACCAAGCCGACGAUCUGUAGCUGGUCUGAGAGGACGACCAGCCACACUGGGACUGAGACACGGCCCAGACUCCUACGGGAGGCAGCAGUGGGGAAUUUUGGACAAUGGGCGCAAGCCUGAUCCAGCCAUGCCGCGUGC